UGAAGCAACCUAGGAGCCUGAGAUAUGGCCACCGGGCACACCUUCCACCCUUUGUUUAUCACACUUUGUUGCUUUGGCAGGCCUGCCUUCGGGCUGCUGGCUCCGGCCGGCGAGCGCCUGCCAGAGGACCCAAACUCUGUUUGUCUGUAACGUCUGAGUACUAUAUAAUAGUUAAAACUUUCAACAACGGAUCUCUUGGUUCU
This 203-nucleotide unclassified non-coding RNA is filed under the name rhizosphere metagenome. Its description in RNAcentral is "partial ribosomal RNA internal transcribed spacer region". The record is from RNAcentral.